Molecule: long non-coding RNA, 1167 nt
Organism: Vombatus ursinus (common wombat)
Lineage: Eukaryota; Metazoa; Chordata; Mammalia; Diprotodontia; Vombatidae
Exons: 3
Source: RefSeq, a predicted model, not a curated record
UUUCUGUUAGAAAAGUCUAAUUUCUAAACCAGAGAACCCAAAUCUUAGGAAAAGAGCCAUUCUCCAAUUGAUAAAUGGCUAAGGGAUAGGACAGAGUGCCGGGCCCGCAGUCAGGCCUCAUCGUCCUUUCUCUGAAUGUGACAGAGAGGAUAGUGUGGCUUCAGAGAAACUGGGGAGACUUGUGUGAACUGAUACAGAGGGAACUAAGCAGAACCGGGACAACAACUUACACGGCAACAACAGUCUUGUAAAGACAAACAACCCUGAAAGACUUCAGAUUAAUGCGGGGACCAGCCAUGACUCCAGGGGAUUCAAGGUGAAACACGAAUCCCACUUCUUAGCAGAGAGUUCUGCAAAGUCUGCCGCCUCCAGAUCACUUAAUGCCAUGUCGAUUUCCAUCUAAGAAAAGAACACAACACAAACAGAAUCCAAAAUUAUGAGGAAUACAUUCACCGGCAAAUUGCUGAGGAGGUAAAAUACCAACGUUCUUCUUGCUGGUCCCUUCAGCACGGCAUUUUGUACAAAAACCAUGCUGAUCUGACUGCCUGAAUGGAUAAAGAAGAGAAUGAAGCCCCCCUGGCAUCUGGCACAGGACAAUUAUCCAACUGAACCAUUGGGAACUCUGCCGUCAUGGAGGAUUUUGGUUUUGUUGCUAUAGAAUGUCCCAGAGUGUCUGACUCCCUCUCAGAGGUAGCCAAACUGUAAGGAGAGUUCAAAGCAGUUUUAUUUUUGCUACAUAAAUUUAAACUGGCCGGGAGGCUGGGGCUGAGGUUGGUUGACAAAUGUGCUGCUCAUUGGGAGGCAACAUUUUUUUAUAAAAAGCCAAGACAUUUCCUACAGGGCUGGGGGAAACACAAUGCUGGCCGAGAUGAAAGAACCUUCUGGAACAUUAGUCAGGCCUCUUAACGUGUCCAUACUCAUUGAUGACCCAUCUUUUUCACCAUCUAACACAGACUCUGUAGUUUCGUGUGUGUGUGUGUGUGUGUGUGUGUGUGUGUGUGUGUGUGUGUUUUGUGAAGGAGAUUCCCAGUUUCAGACACUGGCCAGUGGGUGUGCUGCCCCCACAACUUAAAUAUGACACUUAAUGCCCCAGUAUUUCUCUAGUUGGCCCCAAUACCCUUUAAGAAAAAAAUGUAAUGUUAUUGUUUCUUCUCUUACCUACUCCAG